Molecule: ribosomal RNA, 496 nt
Filed under: uncultured bacterium
Lineage: Bacteria
Description: bacterial SSU rRNA
Rfam family: Bacterial small subunit ribosomal RNA
Source: RNAcentral
AGAGUUUGAUCCUGGCUCAGGACGAACGCUGGCGGCGUGCUUAACACAUGCAAGUCGAACGAUGAAGCCCUUCGGGGUGGAUUAGUGGCGAACGGGUGAGUAACACGUGGGCAAUCUGCCCUUCACUCUGGGACAAGCCCUGGAAACGGGGUCUAAUACCGGAUAUGAGCCUGGGAGGCAUCUCCCGGGUUGUAAAGCUCCGGCGGUGAAGGAUGAGCCCGCGGCCUAUCAGCUUGUUGGUGAGGUAACGGCUCACCAAGGCGACGACGGGUAGCCGGCCUGAGAGGGCGACCGGCCACACUGGGACUGAGACACGGCCCAGACUCCUACGGGAGGCUGCAGUAACGAAUCUUCCGCAAUGCACGCAAGUGUGACGGAGCGACGCCGCGUGUGGGACGAAGCCCUUCGGGGUGUGAACCACUGUCAGGGGAAAGAAAGUUCUGAUCUACCCCAAAGGAAGGCACGGCUAACUCUGUGCCAGCAGCCGCGGUAAUAC